This 74-nucleotide transfer RNA is filed under the name Paraplanobispora siamensis. RNAcentral's name for it is "Planobispora siamensis tRNA-Gln". It matches the Rfam family "tRNA". Rfam says of the family: Transfer RNA (tRNA) molecules are approximately 80 nucleotides in length. Their secondary structure includes four short double-helical elements and three loops (D, anti-codon, and T loops). The record is from RNAcentral. Lineage: Bacteria; Bacillati; Actinomycetota; Actinomycetes; Streptosporangiales; Streptosporangiaceae.
UCCGGGACGCCGUGCUGGUUCGGCAACGGGUCUUUGGAACCCGCCUGCGCAGGUUCGAAUCCUGCUCCCGGAGC